RNAcentral lists this ribosomal RNA (652 nucleotides) under uncultured Anaerolinea sp. Its description in RNAcentral is "bacterial SSU rRNA". It matches the Rfam family "Bacterial small subunit ribosomal RNA", at positions 219 to 892 of the family's 1533-position model. The record is from RNAcentral. Lineage: Bacteria; Bacillati; Chloroflexota; Anaerolineae; Anaerolineales; Anaerolineaceae.
CUUGGGAGGGGCCUGCGUCCCAUCAGCUAGUUGGUAGGGUAACGGCUUACCAAGGCGAUGACGGGUAGGGGACCUGAGAGGGUGACCCCCCACAAUGGAACUGAAACACGGUCCAUACACCUACGGGUGGCAGCAGUAGGGGAUAUUGGGUAAUGGGCGAAAGCCUGAACCAGCAACGCCGCGUGUGCGAUGAAGGCCUUCGGGUUGUAAAGCACUUUUGACUGGGACGAGGAAGGACGGUACCAGUGGAAUAAGCCUCGGCUAACUACGUGCCAGCAGCCGCGGUAAAACGUAGGAGGCGAGCGUUAUCCGGAUCUACUGGGUGUAAAGCGCAUCAGGCGGUUGGCUAAGUUGGGUGUGAAAGCUCCUGGCUCAACUGGGAGAGGUCGCUCAAGACUGGCGAACUAGAGGACGGUAAGGGGAAGCGGAAUUCCGGGUGUAGUGGUGAAAUGCGUAGAUAUCCGGAGAACACCAGUGGCGAAGGGGCUUUCUGGACCGCACCUGACGCUCAGAUGCGAAAGUAGGGUAGCAAACGGGAUUAGAGACCCCGGUAGUCCUAGCUGUAAACGAUGUGAACUUGGCGGCGGGNGGGNAAACUGCUCGGUGCCGAAGCCAACGCGAUAAGUCACCACCUGGGGACUACGGCCGCAAG